UGGGGAAUUUUGGACAAUGGGCGCAAGCCUGAUCCAGCAAUGCCGCGUGCAGGAUGAAUGCCUUCGGGUUGUAAACUGCUUUUGUACGGAGCGAAAAGGUCUGCCCUAAUACGGUGGGCUCAUGACGGUACCGUAAGAAUAAGCACCGGCUAACUACGUGCCAGCAGCCGCGGUAAUACGUAGGGUGCGAGCGUUAAUCGGAAUUACUGGGCGUAAAGCGUGCGCAGGCGGUUAUGCAAGACAGAUGUGAAAUCCCCGGGCUCAAACUGUGAACUGCAUUUGUGAAUGCAUAGCUGGAGUGCGGCAGAGGGGGAUGGAAUUCCGCGUGUAGCAGUGAAAUGCGUAGAUAUGCGGAGGAACACCGAUGGCGAAGGCAGCUUACUAUGGUUUUAUUGACGCUGAGGCACGAAAGCGUGGGGAUAAAACA
RNAcentral lists this ribosomal RNA (427 nucleotides) under uncultured bacterium. RNAcentral's name for it is "bacterial SSU rRNA". It matches the Rfam family "Bacterial small subunit ribosomal RNA", at positions 355 to 774 of the family's 1533-position model. The record is from RNAcentral.